Molecule: ribosomal RNA, 1496 nt
Filed under: uncultured bacterium
Lineage: Bacteria
Description: bacterial SSU rRNA
Rfam family: Bacterial small subunit ribosomal RNA
Source: RNAcentral
GUUUAGAGUUUGAUCCUGGCUCAGGAUGAACGCUGGCGGCGUGCUUAACACAUGCAAGUCGAGCGGAGAUGGGGAUAAACUUGUUUAGAACUAUCUUAGCGGCGGACGGGUGAGUAACGUGUGGGCAACCUGCCUUAUACAGUGGAAUAGCCACCGGAAACGGUGAUUAAUACCGCAUGUCACGUAGAUACGGCAUCGUAUUUACGGAAAAGGAGCAAUCCGGUAUAAGAUGGGCCCGCAUCUGAUUAGCUAGUUGGUGGGGUAACAGCCUACCAAGGCAACGAUCAGUAGCCGACCUGAGAGGGUGAUCGGCCUCAUUGGGACUGAGACACGGCCCAAACUCCUGCGGGAGGCAGCAGUGGGGAAUAUUGCACAAUGGAGGGAACUCUGAUGCAGCAACGCCGCGUGAAGGAAGAAGGUUUUCGGAUCGUAAACUUCUAUCAACAGGGACGAAAAAAAUGACGGUACCUGAAUAAGAAGCCCCGGCUAACUACGUGCCAGCAGCCGCGGUAAUACGUAGGGGGCAAGCGUUAUCCGGAAUUACUGGGUGUAAAGGGAGAGUAGGCGGCAUGACAAGCAAGAUGUGAAAGCCCGGGGCUUAACCCCGGGACUGCAUAAUGAACUGUCAGGCUAGAGUACAGGAGAGGUAAGCGGAAUUCCUAGUGUAGCGGUGAAAUGCGUAGAUAUUAGGAAGAACACCGGUGGCGAAGGCGGCUUACUGGACUGAAACUGACGCUGAGGCUCGAAAGCGUGGGGAGCGAACAGGAUUAGAUACCCUGGUAGUUCACGCCGUAAACGAUGAGUGCUAGGUGUUGGGGGGAACCCUCGGUGCCGGAGCAAACGCAAUAAGCACUCCACCUGGGGAGUACGGCCGCAAGGUUGAAACUCAAAGGAAUUGACGGGGGCCCGCACAAGCGGUGGAGUAUGUGGUUUAAUUCGAUGCAACGCGAAGAACCUUACCUGGUCUUGACAUCCCGGAGACCCUUAGGAAACUAGGGGGUGCUUCCAUCUGGAAGAAUCUGGAGACAGGUGCUGCAUGGCUGUCGUCAGCUCGUGUCGUGAGAUGUUGGGUUAAGUCCCGCAACGAGCGCAACCCUUGCCUUUAGUUGCCAGCAGUUCGGCUGGGCACUCUAAAGGGACUGCCGGUGUUAAACCGGAGGAAGGUGGGGAUGACGUCAAGUCCUCAUGGCCUUUAUGACCAGGGCUACACACGUACUACAAUGGCCGAUACAAAGGGCAGCGACACUGCGAAGUGAAGCCAAUCCCGUAAAAUCGGUCUCAGUCCGGAUUGGAGUCUGCAACUCGACUCCAUGAAGUUGGAAUCGCUAGUAAUCGUGGAUCAGCAUGCCACGGUGAAUACGUUCCCGGGCCUUGUACACACCGCCCGUCACACCACGGGAGUCGGUUGUACCAGAAGCAGUUGAGCUAACCGCAAGGGGGCAGGCUGCCAAGGUAUGGCUGGUAACUGGGGUGAAGUCGUAACAAGGUAGCCAAAC